RNAcentral lists this ribosomal RNA (2094 nucleotides) under Fusarium oxysporum. Its description in RNAcentral is "eukaryotic LSU rRNA". The stretch from base 309 to 2094 matches the Rfam family "Eukaryotic large subunit ribosomal RNA", at positions 1 to 1819 of the family's 3401-position model. The record is from RNAcentral. Lineage: Eukaryota; Fungi; Ascomycota; Sordariomycetes; Hypocreales; Nectriaceae.
ACUUUCAACAACGGAUCUCUUGGUUCUGGCAUCGAUGAAGAACGCAGCAAAAUGCGAUAAGUAAUGUGAAUUGCAGAAUUCAGUGAAUCAUCGAAUCUUUGAACGCACAUUGCGCCCGCCAGUAUUCUGGCGGGCAUGCCUGUUCGAGCGUCAUUUCAACCCUCAAGCACAGCUUGGUGUUGGGACUCGCGUUAAUUCGCGUUCCUCAAAUUGAUUGGCGGUCACGUCGAGCUUCCAUAGCGUAGUAGUAAAACCCUCGUUACUGGUAAUCGUCGCGGCCACGCCGUUAAACCCCAACUUCUGAAUGUUGACCUCGGAUCAGGUAGGAAUACCCGCUGAACUUAAGCAUAUCAAUAAGCGGAGGAAAAGAAACCAACAGGGAUUGCCCUAGUAACGGCGAGUGAAGCGGCAACAGCUCAAAUUUGAAAUCUGGCUCUCGGGCCCGAGUUGUAAUUUGUAGAGGAUACUUUUGAUGCGGUGCCUUCCGAGUUCCCUGGAACGGGACGCCAUAGAGGGUGAGAGCCCCGUCUGGUUGGAUGCCAAAUCUCUGUAAAGUUCCUUCAACGAGUCGAGUAGUUUGGGAAUGCUGCUCUAAAUGGGAGGUAUAUGUCUUCUAAAGCUAAAUACCGGCCAGAGACCGAUAGCGCACAAGUAGAGUGAUCGAAAGAUGAAAAGCACUUUGAAAAGAGAGUUAAAAAGUACGUGAAAUUGUUGAAAGGGAAGCGUUUAUGACCAGACUUGGGCUUGGUUAAUCAUCUGGGGUUCUCCCCAGUGCACUUUUCCAGUCCAGGCCAGCAUCAGUUUUCCCCGGGGGAUAAAGGCGGCGGGAAUGUGGCUCUCUUCGGGGAGUGUUAUAGCCCACCGUGUAAUACCCUGGGGGGGACUGAGGUUCGCGCAUCUGCAAGGAUGCUGGCGUAAUGGUCAUCAACGACCCGUCUUGAAACACGGACCAAGGAGUCGUCUUCGUAUGCGAGUGUUCGGGUGUCAAACCCCUACGCGUAAUGAAAGUGAACGCAGGUGAGAGCUUCGGCGCAUCAUCGACCGAUCCUGAUGUUCUCGGAUGGAUUUGAGUAAGAGCAUACGGGGCCGGACCCGAAAGAAGGUGAACUAUGCCUGUAUAGGGUGAAGCCAGAGGAAACUCUGGUGGAGGCUCGCAGCGGUUCUGACGUGCAAAUCGAUCGUCAAAUAUGGGCAUGGGGGCGAAAGACUAAUCGAACCUUCUAGUAGCUGGUUUCCGCCGAAGUUUCCCUCAGGAUAGCAGUGUUGAACUCAGUUUUAUGAGGUAAAGCGAAUGAUUAGGGACUCGGGGGCGCUAUUUAGCCUUCAUCCAUUCUCAAACUUUAAAUAUGUAAGAAGCUCUUGUUGCUUAAUUGAACGUGAGCAUUCGAAUGUAUCAACACUAGUGGGCCAUUUUUGGUAAGCAGAACUGGCGAUGCGGGAUGAACCGAACGCGAGGUUAAGGUGCCAGAGUAGACGCUCAUCAGACACCACAAAAGGUGUUAGUACAUCUUGACAGCAGGACGGUGGCCAUGGAAGUCGGAAUCCGCUAAGGACUGUGUAACAACUCACCUGCCGAAUGUACUAGCCCUGAAAAUGGAUGGCGCUCAAGCGUCUCACCCAUACCUCGCCCUCAGGGUAGAAACGAUGCCCUGAGGAGUAGGCGGACGUGGAGGUCAGUGACGAAGCCUAGGGCGUGAGCCCGGGUUGAACGGCCUCUAGUGCAGAUCUUGGUGGUAGUAGCAAAUACUUCAAUGAGAACUUGAAGGACCGAAGUGGGGAAAGGUUCCAUGUGAACAGCGGUUGGACAUGGGUUAGUCGAUCCUAAGCCAUAGGGAAGUUCCGUUUCAAAGGUGCACUUUGCACCGUCUGGCGAAAGGGAAGCCGGUCAAUAUUCCGGCACCUGGAUGUGGGUUUUGCGCGGCAACGCAACUGAACGUGGAGACGACGGCGGGGGCCCCGGGCAGAGUUCUCUUUUCUUCUUAACAGUCUCUCACCCUGAAAUCGGUUUGUCCGGAGCUAGGGUUUAAUGGCUGGAAGAGCCCAGCACCUCUGCUGGGUCCGGUGCGCUCUCGACGUCCCUUGAAAAUCCACGGG